UACAGAGGUCCCAAGCGUUGUUCGGAUUCACUGGGCGUAAAGGGUGCGUAGGCGGUUGGGUAAGUCUGAUGUGAAAUCUCACAGCUUAACUGUGAAACUGCAUUGGAUACUAUCCAACUCGAGGAAUGGAGGGGAGACUGGAAUACUUGGUGUAGCAGUGAAAUGCGUAGAUAUCAAGUGGAACACCAGUGGCGAAGGCGAGGCUCUGGACAUUUCCUGACGCUGAGGCACGAAAGCCAGGGGAGCAAACGGG
This 253-nucleotide ribosomal RNA is filed under the name uncultured bacterium. Its description in RNAcentral is "partial 16S ribosomal RNA". It matches the Rfam family "Bacterial small subunit ribosomal RNA", at positions 524 to 776 of the family's 1533-position model. The record is from RNAcentral.